GAUGAAGAACGUAGCAAAAUGAGAUAAGUAAUGUGAAUUGCAGAAUUCAGUGAAUCAUCGAAUCUUUGAACGCACAUUGCGCCCGCUGGUAUUCCGGCGGGCAUGCCUGUUCGAGCGUCAUUUCAACCCUCAAGCCCCCGGGUUUGGUGUUGGGGAUCGGCUCUGCCCUUCUGGGCGGUGCCGCCCCCGAAAUACAUUGGCGGUCUCGCUGCAGCCUCCAUUGCGUAGUAGCUAACACCUCGCAACUGGAACGCGGCGCGGCCAUGCCGUAAAACCCCAACUUCUGAAUGUUGACCUCGGAUCAGGCAGGAAUACCCGCUGAACUUAAGCAUAUCAAUAAGCGGAGGA
RNAcentral lists this unclassified non-coding RNA (348 nucleotides) under soil metagenome. RNAcentral's name for it is "partial contains 5.8S ribosomal RNA, internal transcribed spacer 2, and large subunit ribosomal RNA". The stretch from base 1 to 120 matches the Rfam family "5.8S ribosomal RNA", at positions 35 to 154 of the family's 154-position model. The record is from RNAcentral.